Small nuclear RNA from Nomascus leucogenys (northern white-cheeked gibbon), 152 nucleotides. Its record names the gene U1. It matches the Rfam family "U1 spliceosomal RNA". Rfam says of the family: U1 is a small nuclear RNA (snRNA) component of the spliceosome (involved in pre-mRNA splicing). Its 5' end forms complementary base pairs with the 5' splice junction, thus defining the 5' donor site of an intron. Lineage: Eukaryota; Metazoa; Chordata; Mammalia; Primates; Hylobatidae. The record is from Ensembl.
CUACUUACCUGUCAGGGAAAAUACCAUGAUCAUGAAGGUGGUUUUCCCAAGACAAGGUUUAUCCAUUUUACUCCAGAUAUGCUAACCCCUGCUAUUCCCCAAAUGUGGGAAACUCAACUGUAUAAUUUGUGGUAGUGAGGGACUGUCUUUUC